This 605-nucleotide long non-coding RNA is filed under the name Nothobranchius furzeri (turquoise killifish). RNAcentral describes it as "lncRNA (ENSNFUG00015013450.1)". The record is from RNAcentral. Lineage: Eukaryota; Metazoa; Chordata; Actinopteri; Cyprinodontiformes; Nothobranchiidae.
GUAUGGAAGGAAGUUUGCCCAUUUUACAGAAGAGGGACAGGCAACCCUUCGUACCAAUGUACCACCGGUAUUCAGGAUAAAAAGAUAAAGACAACAUGAAAGCAGCACCAUGGACACAGACCAUGUGUAUUUUAACACACCCUACAGCUUUCCACCCAGAGAGCAGGUGAAUAUGAGUGAAGAUUAUUGAAUGACAACAAAAUAAAAUUAAUUGUAACUGCUGUGCAUGAAGUCAUGUUUUUUGUGUGUCGUGAUUAAGGACAAUGACGGCAUGGACCAACACAACGUGGCAACCAUCCAUGCACUUUCAGCUGUCCAUGAAUGUUGACCAGACAAAGCCACAGAAAUGUACGGCAGUGUGACUGGAGUGAGAGGCAGCUGAUGUCCUAUGCCAUGGAACUGCUCAUAUACUCGGAGAAAUUCAGAAAAGCUCUGGACUCAUCUCAUUGUGUGGACAUUUUUAUUUUUUAUUUUUCGAAGGUUUUUGUAAGGCCAAUAAAAGCUGUUGCUGGAUGGUUCAUUUGUCUCAACUUUUUUUCUAAAGCCAAACUUUUCUGCUUUUGUGUUUACAGCAUAUUCUUUCCAGAUUAGUGUAUGGUCAAUAU